UACCGUUUUUUGAACGGAGUUAACAUAGUUAAGUAAAGUUCCGAGUAGAAAUUGAUUAUGACAGUUUCUAUGAGUAUGUCUUGACCAAUUCAUGUGCCAGCAGUCGCGGCAAUACAUGUAAGACUCGUGUUAUUCAUCUUUAAUAGGUUUAAAGGGUACCUAGACAGUUAAUUAAGCCAUAAAAAAGGAACUAAUUAGACUAGAGUUUGAUGUAAGAAGUAUAGUACGGUGUGUGUAGAGUUAAAAUUCAGUGAUACCACUUAGAAACAGGUAAUAGCGAAGGCAAUCUUCUAUGUAAAAACUGACGUUGAGGGACGAAGGCUCGUUAAAAAAAACAGGAUUAGAUACCCUGGUAUUUUGGGCAGACAAUGAUGAAUGUCAUAUGCAAGAAUUAUUUUGUGUAUAAAUGAAAAUGUAAGCAUUCCACCUCAAGAGUAAUAUGGCAACAUAUAAACUGAAAUCAUUAGACCGUUUCUGAAACCCGUAGUGAAGUAUGUUAUUUAAUUUGAUAACCCACAAAGAACCUUACCACAAUUUGUAUAUUUUUUUACAAGCGUUGCACGGCUGUCUUCAGUUAAUGUCGUGAGACUUUGGUUAGAUCCAUUUAAUU
RNAcentral lists this ribosomal RNA (610 nucleotides) under Clandestinotrema clandestinum. RNAcentral's name for it is "SSU rRNA". It matches the Rfam family "Bacterial small subunit ribosomal RNA", at positions 410 to 1094 of the family's 1533-position model. Lineage: Eukaryota; Fungi; Ascomycota; Lecanoromycetes; Ostropales; Graphidaceae. The record is from RNAcentral.